AUGAUUUUUUAUUAUUUGUGAAGUACUACUAAUUAACAAACAAAAUUUUAUAGUCAAAAAAAAUAAAUCA
RNAcentral lists this unclassified non-coding RNA (70 nucleotides) under soil metagenome. RNAcentral's name for it is "partial internal transcribed spacer 1". The record is from RNAcentral.